GGGGGCACGGGGGGAACGUCGACAGUCAGGCAACGAGCGAGACCCACGCCAACAGUUGCUAGCUCGUCCUCCGGGAUGGAGAGGACACUGUUGGGACCGCCUCUGCUAAAGAGGAGGAAGGAAUGGGCAACGGUAGGUCAGCAUGCCCCGAAUUAACUGGGCUACACGCGGGCUACAAUGGGUGGGACAAUGGGUAUCGACACCGAAAGGUGAAGGCAAUCUCCUAAACCCAUCCUUAGUUCGGAUUGUGGGCUGCAACUCGCCCACAUGAAGCUGGAAUCCGUAGUAAUCGUAUCUCAAUAUGGUACGGUGAAUAUGUCCCUGCUCCUUGCACGAAUUCGCCG
RNAcentral lists this ribosomal RNA (344 nucleotides) under uncultured Methanomicrobiales archaeon. Its description in RNAcentral is "bacterial SSU rRNA". It matches the Rfam family "Archaeal small subunit ribosomal RNA", at positions 1003 to 1352 of the family's 1478-position model. The record is from RNAcentral. Lineage: Archaea; Methanobacteriati; Methanobacteriota; Methanomicrobia; Methanomicrobiales.